This 517-nucleotide ribosomal RNA is filed under the name uncultured Lactobacillus sp. RNAcentral describes it as "bacterial SSU rRNA". It matches the Rfam family "Bacterial small subunit ribosomal RNA", at positions 57 to 524 of the family's 1533-position model. Lineage: Bacteria; Bacillati; Bacillota; Bacilli; Lactobacillales; Lactobacillaceae. The record is from RNAcentral.
GCGAGUCUGCCUUGAAAGAUCGGAGUGCUUGCACUCUGUGAAAACAAGAUACAGGCUAGCGGCGGAACGGGUGAGUAACACGUGGGGUAAACCCUGCCCCAAAGAGAUCCGGGAUAACACCUGGGGAAACAGAUGCUAAUACCGGAUAACAACAGAUGAUGCCUAUCAACUGUUUAAAAGAUGGUUCUGCUAUCACUCUUGGGAUGGGACCUGCGGUGCAUUAGCUAGUUGGUAGGGUAAUGGGCCUACCAAGGCGAUGAUGCAUAGCCCGAGUUGAGAGACUGAUCGGGCCACAUUGGGGACUGAGACACGGGCCCAAAACUCCUACGGGGAGGCAGCAGUAGGGAAUCUUCCACAAUGGACGCAAGUCUGAUGGAGCAACGCCGCGUGAGUGAAGAAGGGUUUCGGCUCGUAAAGCUCUGUUGUUGGUGAAGAAGGACAGGGGUAGUAACUGACCUUUGUUUGACGGUAAUCAAUUAGAAGUCACGGCUAACUACGUGCCAGCAGCCGCGGUAAU